Molecule: long non-coding RNA, 7320 nt
Filed under: Ananas comosus (pineapple)
Lineage: Eukaryota; Viridiplantae; Streptophyta; Magnoliopsida; Poales; Bromeliaceae
Description: long non-coding RNA (ACOM_LNC034950)
Source: RNAcentral
AAUAUUAUAAUCUCAAAUCAGAUUUUUUUUGAUGGAUUCUUGAUAGUAGAUGUUAAGAAAAGGUGUUUUGGAUGGAUUUAUUAGUUGAUAUAGCUUGGUUUUGCCAUAGAGAACUUAGGAAAAACCUAUAUAGGUAUCAUGUAUGCUUGUUGUGAGAAAGCUUAAGAACAUGAAAUGAGAAUCUGUUGGAAAGUAAUUUGUUGGAAGGAAACCUGAAGUAGAGUUAGUAUAUUUCUUUGAUAAGGUUUGUUUUUUUAUUACCUUAAAUAAGGUCUAUUUUGGAUGUUCUUUGAUUGCUACAGUUUGUAGCUUCUAUAAAGCUUAGAGAAGCAUGCUGGUAGUAGGAGUGAACUUAGGCUUUCUAGGUUACUAAAAGCUGUUUGCUAUAAAUCCUAGGGAAUAGGCCUAUAGGUAUCAUGUAAAUGAACCUAGCUGUUGAGAAAAAUGAAGAGUAAGUUAUAAUUCCUGAUUAAAGCUUGAUAUGUAUACCUUAAAGAAAUGAAUUUGUAGUAGAAUUCAGGAAUUCUGAAACUUUAAGAAUGAGAGGUAACAGAAGUUGAUCUCUAAUGUUCCUAAAUUAUUUAACAUUGGUAUUGAAGCCUAGGUUUCUAUAUAGGUUCUUAUAGAACCUAUAUAGAAACAGGUUGUAUUAAGCUAAUGUUUGGGUAGUAUUUAGAGCUCUAAACUUAAAAAUGCUAACUUGUAGGAUUGAGGCCCCAGCUUGAAAUUAAUCGCGUGGAAACCUAAUUGAGGGUAAAACAAACGCGUUGGCGAAGUCGGUUCGGCAAUCCGUCGAGCCUACGUGAAGAUAUUGCCAAAAGAACAUUCUCGGCGACAAGUGUCGGGAGCGCGGGUCGCGAUUCGUGGAAAAGUGCGAGAAGUGGAUUUCUCUCAUUCCAGUACCAAAUAAAGGUGGGUUAUGCUUACCGAAGCGAUUAGGUCGCUUCCCAUGUCAAAGUAAAGUAUGGUCUCAUUUGAUGCAUAUAUGAAUAUAGUUGUCGAUAUAUGAAUAUAAAUGCUUGAUGCGUAUGAAUGAAUAGGCAUAUAUGGUGGUUGACAUAUUAUGAUUGUUGACAUAUGAUAGUUAUCAGAUAAGUAUGAAUGCUACAUGCAUAUGAAUAUGAAUGCUAGAUGCAUAUGAAUGUAUUAUAGUUCAAACUAUAUGAACGUCGAUAAUUCUAGUUGAUAAAGGAACUUCGAUGUUGAUAAGUAAUUGAAAAUAUGUAAACUAUGAACCUAGGCAAGAGUACCUAGGAUGAUAUAUAGAUCGAGUGGCAUGGCCUAGUGUCAGUAAACAUAGGUCUGACAUGAACCUAGUGUCAUUGGACAUAGGUCGAGUAAUUAAACCUAGAGUCGAGUUCUAGGUGAAAAUGAUAUAAAACCUAGCAAAUGAACCUAGGUUAUGAUAUAUAGUAAGACUUAGUACAUUUGAACUAAGUUGUGAAUAUUAGUGGUAUAGUGACCACUAGGAAAGGAUUGGUAUCGACCUAGGAGGGUCGUCAACAUAGGGUAAAGUGAGUAAACCCUCAAAUUGUGGAAAUGGAUUCCGGAAUCCCAAGAUCUAUUAUAACCUUGGUAUCAAGGCUAGGGCGUGUGCGACGAUUUCGCCGCCGAGAUUGAUACCAAGGCAGGAUUGGGUGUGUGCGCAGUGUCCACCACCCGGAGGCUUGAACCAUUGUUCGGCGUGUGCGACGAUUUCGCCGCCAGAUGGUUAAGCUAGCUUGUGGAUCCUACCGCCUGUUGACUGAACCACUGUCGUGGCGUGUGCGACGAUUUCGCCGCCGGGUGGCUAAGUCAUUGACCUAGGCUGUUGUUGGGUGAGGUGCGACUCGUUCGCCGCCAGACAGCUAGGACAGGAGUACGGUGAGCUGUCGCCAGCUGAGGUGCAUGUGAGAGUUCCUUCACCUCGAGCUAGACAGUGCGCGGACUAUCCGCAAUUGAUUGACUCAAAACCGAGUCGGGUGGCAUAGUGAGAUUAAGGUAAGAGCAACCUUAAGAAAGAAUUUGCCAAUGAAUAUAGUGGGGCCAAGUUUAAGGUGUAGAACACCAAGUACAAGUACAAAGAAUAAAGAGCAAAACAUGAACGAUAAUGAAAUUAGCUAAUGAACGAGAAUAGCUAAGAAAUAAAAGAACGGCUAUAAGUAAAGAAUGGUUAAAGAUAUAAAGUAGAAUCAAGUAAUCUACUUACAUGAUUGACAGGUUUUGCAUAUUGCAUAGCAGCGAGGCAAGGUAUGGUUUUAUUUAUUGCUUAGUCAAAUAUCUAUCUAUCUAUCUAUUUGUUGAACUAACCUACUGUUGCCUCCUUUGGACCUGGUGGGUCGAGCUCUUCCCUUGGGUGGCCGUACCCACUGGGAACUAUAUUUAUAUAGUUCUCACCCCCGUGUUGUUUUGGGGGUACAGGUUGCACGCGAGCGGCGCGGCGGCGCGAGGACAGGGCGUAGCUCCGUAGAUAGCGCCCCACCACUGAGACCGAGAUAGCAAUACCCUGAUGUGAUCGAGCUCAUAGAGUAUAAGAUGAAGAAACAAAUUUGUAGUAAAUUGUAUAAGUUUUGUAAUAACUUAAAGGUAUUUGUAAUAGUGUAAAUGUAAAAUUCUGAGAUGAAUGCUUGUAAUAGCAUAGCUCGCAUUUUUGUUUUUGAUACUAUGCAAUCUGUGGUUGAAUACAGUUCCUGUUUGGAACCUCUUGUAUCGCAUUGUAUAGAUUGUGACGCCUAGAACGUACAGGGGAGGUUCUGUCCGUUCGGCGGUCUGUCGGCGUGCCCGAAUCCGACCAAAUAGGCGGAGCUCGGGGCGUGACAGAUUAAAUGGUAUCAGAGCAUGAAAAGAGCAAUAGAAACGGUUUAAGCGGACCUAGGAGACCUAGGAUAGUAAACCGUAAGGACUUAUGUUCGUGAGAGACGAGGACUUGUGACGUGUGGCGAAAGGUAAAUCGAUUGGGUCAAGUUUAGUAAACCUCUAAGACGGAUAUUAGAGGUAGAUUCAAGGUUCAGUUUAUUCUCAGCCAAGUGAGUUCAUGUUGGGUCGACACAACAUGAAACCGAGGGAUGGGAAUAAGCUUCCUUGCAUGACUUUCGCCCGAUUUGAGUUUGUGUUAAUUAUUUCGUAUUCGACCCAGAGGGUCGAGGACUAACCGAGUUGUCGUGUCAUGUUUCAGGAAGCGAUGGCACCGCGUAGGCGAUCUUCGUCUAGAUUGGCGCGAGAUGGGACAGAUGGUGUCCCUGAGCAGACUGAGGCGAGCGGAGACUUGGAGCUUCGCGAUCAGUUGGCCACACUCGUGGGAGUGGUGAGGCAACAAGCGGAUGUAGUGCAACGUCAGCAGGAAACUGCUCUGCGACAAGAAGAGCGAAUAAAGAGACUUCAGGAAACAGUGGAUCAGUUAGUGACCGCACCAGUUUCGGCCUGUCGAGUACAGCCGGGAGUUGCGGCAGCGGCAUUUCCGUCGAGGUCGGGUGAUCCAACUGCUAUUGAUUCAGGGCCGGAAGCGGAAAGAGAGCGAGCUUUAGCGGCUCUCAUGUCCUUCAAGAAGUUUGAUCCACCUGCGUUUGAUGGAGAGGACAUAGAUCCAUGGACUGUGGAGUCAUGGAUUGAUUCCAUAGAGACUAUCUUCGAGGAUUUGUACACGGUGGAGCGGGACAAGGUACACCUAGCCGUGCAUUGUCUACAAUUGUCGGCGAAGGAAUGGUGGAAAGGCGUUAAACGGAACCGAUCGCCUAGUCUUCCUUCUAUGGUUUGGGAAGAGUUUCGGGAAUUAAUGCGUUCAACUUAUUUCCCCGAUAGUGAAAAGAGAAAGCUUCAGAACAGGUUUCAGAAACUACGACAGGGAGACCGCCUUGUGAGGGAAUACGAGCGGGAAUUCUCUCGUAUCGUGAACUAUGUUCCAAGUGUGGUACGGGACGACAAGGAUCGAGCUGAUUGUUUUGUACGACUUCGGCCUGAUAUUUUUGAAGCAGUGCAUAAUCUAAAGUUGCAGACUUUUGCUGAAGUCUUGGAUCGGGCCUUAUGGAUAGAACAAGGCAAUGCAUCGGUGCAGGAGGAGCGCGAAUCUUAUUACAAGGAAAAAGAAAAAGAACGACCAGCGAGUGGGUAUGAUGGUCAGUCAAGUUCUCAGCGGACCACUGGGAGUUCGCGUUCGCGAUCCCGAGCUCCGGGGACGUAUCGUAGUCGGACCUCGGCAUGUUGUGUUAUUUGUGGGGGUCCUCACUACCCACAGCAGUGUGAGCAACAAGAUGGCAAGUGCUUCAGGUGUGGACGGCCAGGUCAUGCGCGGGACGAGUGUCCACGGGGUGCUAGCCAAGCCUUGAUGCUGGCGACGGCAUUCUCCUCUCCGGGACAACUUGUAGAUGUGCCACCUGUGGCACGGUCUGGAGAGCGAAUGAGGAUAAGGCAACCGAGGGGUUCGCGACGAACGACAAGUGGCCGUGGAUAGGUGUUCCAUGUGGAGGAACCUGCUACGACUGUUGGCAUUGUGACAGGUACGAGUUAAUCAAAGCAAGCAUGUAUUUCAAUAUGAUAUAAAUUGGUGCAUUGCAUGCUUUCUUUAUGUAUUCUAUUACUACUAUUUGUGCAUGAGGAUAGUAGUGAUUGAUUAUAGAGACCCGAACAUGCUUGUGGUGGAUGUGUAGUACCUGCUAUUGCAGAUAGGAGGCCAAAUGGCACUAGCAAAUUGCUGGUAAGAGCCUGUGAAUAAGACGUAAGACUCGUAGUAGAAAUGGUAGUAGCUGACCAACUCUCAAAUUAAUGCGAGUUGCUGAUUGCGAGAGUCUAGUCGCGGUGUUCGUGGAACUCGUGUAAGACCGAGCAUUUUGCAGGUUGUUCUAGUAGAUCGAACAGUGAAAGUGGAGUCACUGUUGCGUCUGGUACGUGCACGUGGACCUAACAAUACCUCGAAUUGAGGUCAAUGGGUCGUGCUCGUGUAGUUGAGUGCAUAGGCAAGAGUUGCCUGAUGCUAGACUUAAUAUAGCACGCGAUAGAGUCGUGUAGAGCGCUCUAGUGUUGGUGCUCGUAGAGUACAGAUUUGUUUCAGCCGUGAGUGCGUUGGCAGUAGCACUUUAGCAUUGCUAAGUGUGAAGCGUGCCAGAGGUCACUCGUAGGGCUGGUGGCUCGCACUAGGUGCGUAGGAGCCGAUAGUGGUAUGUGUGCGCGAUAGAGAGUGUCGUGUGAGACGACGUUUGCGGGUAGUGCUUGGGGACGAUCCGUGCCUGGACCACUUGUGGACUGUGGAGCCUGGGCCCAUUGGGCAGGCACAGUCGGCUGUGAGAGGCAGCGGCCCGGUACCUACGGGUAGGGCAGCGAGUUUUGGUCAGGACGGUAGUUCCAGCAUAGACCCGAGUACGUGGAAUGCCACGUGUUGGAUCGUGAAAUCGGUGAUGCACUAAGAGUGCGGUUGUGACCCAACCCGAGGACUUGGCGUGGUUUGGGGUCUCGGUUGCUCCCAGUUGGAGUAGGUAUAAGGUAUCUCAAAUGAGAACUUUGCUUCGUGAUAAUUGGGUUUACGCUUGCGAGCGAGAGGCAUUAUGUCGUGUCACGGUUGAGUUAGGCAAUCGGCCUAUAGCGGAUCGGUAACUUAUGAACCGAAUUGUGGUAUUGGUUUACUCGUUCAUACUGAAAGCGAGCGUAGUGGACCCAUUCCAGUGGCUUGUGAGUAGGGCCGUGAAAGCGAAGGCUUAGUCCUAUGGAUGAAUUAAUCAGACUUGCUACGAUAAGCAUCGAUAACGAGCUGAGAAUGGAAACGCGAACAAAGUGUUCGUAGAGACUGAUGUGGAGAAAUCAGUAUAGUAUAAAAUGAAAUUGAGAAACUGUAGAAUAGUAUUGGAAUUUAUCUCCAUCCGUUAAGUAAUGAGGAAUAAAAUGUAUCUAAGUUUCGCGGACGAAACUUUUGUUAACGGGAGGAGAAUGUAACAUAUGGAAAUUUGGAGUUGCGAUGUCAACUUUGAUCUCGGGGAUCAAAGUGAGGAUUGAGCUAGUUGGACAUCAUCCUCGAGUGAUUCGUGAUGCGUUGGAAUGAAUUUCGGAGAUAAAUAAGUGUUUCGGCGCAAAUUGGGCGCGAAACGAAAUGUAAAAAGAAUUUUCGGAUUUCCGACGCUAACUUUGAUUAAAAGAAUUAAAGUAAGGCGUGAGGAUAAAUUGUGGUAUCUCCGAAUCAAUUGUGAAGUUUUGGAAAAGCCAAGGGUGUGCUUUCAAAGGGUUUUGAAGUGUUCAGUGCGAAGUGGUAGUGCAAAAAGGAGAAAUUUCUGCCGUAUAAUGAAAUUGGAGCUGAUUCUAUUGCUAAUUCGGCUCCAAUAAUGUCAAAAUGCAAAGGAAUUGCUUCCAAAUUGGAUUGGUAGCUUGUGAAGGUCCCUUGGUAUCUUUUGGACAUGUUUGGGUGAAAUUGGAGUGAAAACGGAAACUUUAGAAUUUUCUGUAAAGAACGGGACUGAGAAAAAUUAGCGGAAAAUGCACAGUGUCAGAAAAUUAUGAAAAUUGGCAGAGAUGUCAGGAACAUUUUUAUGAGGCUAGAUUUGAAGUUUCAGAUUAUUCUGACACCUAUAGAGAGAGAAAUAGCAUCCGAAAGUUAUCUGAUGAAGAUUACAGUUCGGGACAGUUCGCAGUGACCAAACGGGGUCGAAACUGAAAUGUUAAAAUUUCAGUGGACUUGUUAAGGAAAACCGAGUAUGCCUGUCGAAUUUGAGCUCAAUUGGACUGUCGGAAGGGCUCCAAUUAAAUGUAUCAGACUAGAAUUGGAUUGAAGUGAUAAGAUCGAUGACUUAUGGACCUAAAGGCAAUUGUUACAUGCUUAGUGGAUUUCCACUAACCGGCCAGGGGAAUCUCCUCCAUGCUUAUCCUCCUUUUCAUCCUCCUGUACGUAGAGAGAGAAGGAGAAAAGAAGUGAAAAGGGGAAAAAGAGAGAAGUAAUGGAUUUGGUGCCGUUUGACGAGCCGAUCGAAACGCCGCGCACCUAAUUUUUAGUGCUUCGACACUCGGGUUAGUAUUAUAAUAUUAUAAUCUCAAAUCAGAUUUUUUUUGAUGGAUUCUUGAUAGUAGAUGUUAAGAAAAGGUGUUUUGGAUGGAUUUAUUAGUUGAUAUAGCUUGGUUUUGCCAUAGAGAACUUAGGAAAAACCUAUAUAGGUAUCAUGUGUGCUUGUUGUGAGAAAGCUUAAGAACAUGAAAUGAGAAUCUGUUGGAAAGUAAUUUGUUGGAAGGAAACCUGAAGUAGAGUUAGUAUAUUUCUUUGAUAAGGUUUGUUUUUUUUAUUACCUUAAAUAAGGUCUAUUUUGGAUGUUCUUUGAUUGCUACAGUUUGUAGCUUCUAUAAAGCUUAGAGAAGCAUGCUGGUAGUAGGAGU